Molecule: long non-coding RNA, 631 nt
Organism: Hibiscus syriacus
Lineage: Eukaryota; Viridiplantae; Streptophyta; Magnoliopsida; Malvales; Malvaceae
Exons: 3
Source: RefSeq, a predicted model, not a curated record
GUAUUUUGGCAAAAAUUAUCCAGUAAGCCCUCUCUUUCGUCUUUGGUUCUUCGUGUCUAUAUUUUGCAAGAAAAUUGUCUUGUUUACUAAUUAUAUAAAAAUACAAAAUGAAGGCAUCCUUUUAUAGGUUAUUAUUUAAGCAAGAUGGAAACAGGGCUACUUGGGAGUACCCGUUCGCUGUUGCUGGUAUCAAUGUAUCUUUUAUGUUGAUUCAGAUGUUGGAUUUAUAUUCAGAAACACCAAAAAAUCUACCGGGAUACAAUUUCAUGAAACUAUUAGGAGGUAACAGAAACGAGGAUUUGAGUGCUUUAAGUUCAAGUGUGGUUGGAACUAUGAAGCCGACUUUAGUUUUUCCGGUUCUCGGUAUUCGGUCUCACGAUCUUGAAUGUUUGGGAUUUUGCAGAAGAUGAAGAAGCCUUCGACAUAUUAUAUUGUGUAGCUUUUGAAUUGAUGGAUGCUCAGUGGCUUGCUAUGCAAGCUUCCUACAUGGAGUUCAAUGAGGUUUUACAAGUAACACGCACGCAACUGCAGAGAGAACUGUCUUUGGAUGAUGUGCAUAGAAUACAAGAUUUACCAGCUUACAACCUGUUAUACAAGUAGCUCUGCUGUCAACACUACGAAGUCACCAAAA